This 800-nucleotide ribosomal RNA is filed under the name Hermatomyces pandanicola. Its description in RNAcentral is "SSU rRNA". It matches the Rfam family "Eukaryotic small subunit ribosomal RNA", at positions 74 to 883 of the family's 1831-position model. Lineage: Eukaryota; Fungi; Ascomycota; Dothideomycetes; Pleosporales; Hermatomycetaceae. The record is from RNAcentral.
UUAUACCGUGAAACUGCGAAUGGCUCAUUAAAUCAGUUAUCGUUUAUUUGAUAGUACCUUACUACUUGGAUAACCGUGGUAAUUCUAGAGCUAAUACAUGCUAAAAACCCCGACUUCGGGAGGGGUGUAUUUAUUAGAUAAAAAACCAAUGCCCUUCGGGGCUCUUUGGUGAUUCAUGAUAACUUAACGGAUCGCAUGGCCUUGCGCCGGCGACGGUUCAUUCAAAUUUCUGCCCUAUCAACUUUCGAUGGUAAGGUAUUGGCUUACCAUGGUUUCAACGGGUAACGGGGAAUUAGGGUUCGAUUCCGGAGAGGGAGCCUGAGAAACGGCUACCACAUCCAAGGAAGGCAGCAGGCGCGCAAAUUACCCAAUCCCGACUCGGGGAGGUAGUGACAAUAAAUACUGAUACAGGGCUCUUUUGGGUCUUGUAAUCGGAAUGAGUACAAUUUAAACCCCUUAACGAGGAACAAUUGGAGGGCAAGUCUGGUGCCAGCAGCCGCGGUAAUUCCAGCUCCAAUAGCGUAUAUUAAAGUUGUUGCAGUUAAAAAGCUCGUAGUUGAACCUUGGGCCUGGCUGGCCGGUCCGCCUCACCGCGUGUACUGGUCCGGCCGGGCCUUUCCUUCUGGAGAGCCGCAUGCCCUUCACUGGGUGUGUUGGGGAACCAGGACUUUUACUUUGAAAAAAUUAGAGUGUUCAAAGCAGGCCUUUGCUCGAAUACGUUAGCAUGGAAUAAUAGAAUAGGACGUGCGGUCCUAUUUUGUUGGUUUCUAGGACCGCCGUAAUGAUUAAUAGGGAUAGUC